UGCUAUGUCCUGCGUGCAAUGGGGAGAAGAGUCCCUACCCUGACAUCACACUUCCAAGGCACAGGCACUGUCUGUCCUGAGCACCUCAUUUCAGGCUCCAAGCUCAGGAAACGCUCGCUCGCUACUGGAGGAAUGUUACAUCUUGAGACCUCAGGGGGCAACUGAAUAAUUAAAUUGAGAGAAAUCAAGACGAUAGUAUUCUAAGCAGCCAUAAAAAUGACUGAGUGCUGGCAUGGAACGGCGACCACAAUUCAUUGCUGAGUGCAAGGUAUGUUGCAAAAGACCAUAUACGUGUGCAUACAAUUCCUUUUUGUCUUGUAUAUAUAUACAUACAUAUAUACUCAUCCAUGCUUACAUGCACAUAUAUACCUAGAAGGGUCUGGAAGGAGACACCAGAAAGUGUUACCAAUGCUUAGUCACCUCUGAGGAAUGGGAUCCGGAGGAGGGUCAAGGGGAGAAAUUUCACUUGUUAUUUUAUGCAUUGCUAGAUUGUUCAAAAAGUUUACUGUGUGCAUAUGUUAUUUGUAUAUCUAACAAACAACAAAAACAAGAGUUGCUGGGUGGAAGAAGGGAUGCAGAGGGCCGAGUGAGGGCGCUCUGGCUCCUGACUCACACCCUCCACCACUCCUCCACGUGGCCUUCCUGGGCCUGCCAGGCAGUUCUGCUCAGCAGCUGUGCUGAGGACAAGCGCCCGCUUUCCUUCAUCCUUAGAAGCAGCCUUGGCUCUGUCUGGGGAGGAUGACGUCACAGCUGCUGAGGAAGAAACCACGCCCAGCCGGCAGAACCCCAGAGGGCCCACCCGAGAGCUCCAAAGAAGUAGGAGGAACCAGAGGUCACAUCGCUCAGGAGGAAGAAACCUGCAUUGGCCAAGAGAGGCAUCCUACAGAGAGGCCCAGUGAUGGCUAUACUGAGACCAGAGGUGUCAAAUUAAGAGUUGUACUGGCUUCUGUCGUGUGGAAACAGCUGUGCUCUGGUGGCAGGGGCAAUGCCCUUUGCCAGAGAAAACCUGGCCUGCCCCACCGCUUCCGGGCUGGUGACUUGGGCCUGUGGCUCGGCUUCCUUAAGGCUCAGUGUUUUUGUCUGAAAUUGAGAUGGGGCCGGGUGCGGUGGCUUAUGCCUGUAAUCCCAGCACUUUGGGUGACUGAGGCGGAAGGAUCGCUUGAGCUCAGGAGUUUGAGACCAGCCUGAGCAAUACAGUGAGACCCCAUCUCUACAAAAAAAUUUAAAAAUUUGCCGGGCAUGAUGGCGCAUGCCAGUGGUCCCAGCUACUCAGGAGAUGGAGGUGGGAGGAUCACUUGAGCCAGGGAGGUCCAGGCUGGAAUAAGCCAUGAUCACACCACUGGGCAACAGAGCAACUCUGUCUCAGAAAAAAAAAAAAAAAAAAAAACCCAAAACUGGAAAUGAUCAUAAUGGCUCCACUGGGGAGUUGGGAGGAUUCAAUGAGAUAUGGGGUACAGAGUCUUCUGGUGCACCCCGAAUAUAGGAAAUACUCCUCAUGCUUGCUGCAUGCUGGCAGGGGAGAAGUAAUAGGACACCUCUCUUCUGGCCACAGUGUGCCAGUUAAACAUGUUGCCCCUUGGUGACUCACUGUCUGGCUUCAAUCUGACCUUGCCGCAUGAUCUUUAGGCCCAUCAACCAGUUCCUCUGUGCCUCCGUGUCCUUAUUUCUAAGAGGGUAAUGAUGAUACUAUCUGCCUCCCAAGACUUAGGGGAGUUCAAUUCAUAUACGUGUAAAAUUUACAAGUGCCCAACACACAGUAAGCACUCAAUAAAUGUUAACUUUGCUAGUA
Molecule: long non-coding RNA, 1789 nt
Organism: Homo sapiens (human)
Lineage: Eukaryota; Metazoa; Chordata; Mammalia; Primates; Hominidae
Exons: 2
Source: RefSeq, a predicted model, not a curated record